GACGAACGCUGGCGGCGUGCUUAACACAUGCAAGUCGAACGGAAAGGCCCUGCUUUUGUGGGGUGCUCGAGUGGCGAACGGGUGAGUAACACGUGAGUAACCUGCCCUUGACUUUGGGAUAACUUCAGGAAACUGGGGCUAAUACCGGAUAGGAGCUCCUGCUGCAUGGUGGGGGUUGGAAAGUUUCGGCGGUUGGGGAUGGACUCGCGGCUUAUCAGCUUGUUGGUGGGGUAGUGGCUUACCAAGGCUUUGACGGGUAGCCGGCCUGAGAGGGUGACCGGCAACAUUGGGACUGAGAGACGGCCCAGACUACUACGGGAGGCAGCAGGGGGGAAGAGUGCAGAAGGGGCGGAAGCCUGAUGCAGCAACGCCGCGUGCGGGAUGACGGCCGUCGGGUUGUAAACCGGGUUCGCCGGUGACGAAGCGUGAGUGACGGUAAUGGGUAAAGAAGCACCGGCUAACUACGUG
RNAcentral lists this ribosomal RNA (468 nucleotides) under uncultured bacterium. Its description in RNAcentral is "partial 16S ribosomal RNA". It matches the Rfam family "Bacterial small subunit ribosomal RNA", at positions 28 to 507 of the family's 1533-position model. The record is from RNAcentral.